CUUAAUACGGUGAAGCCGCGAAUAGCUCAUUACAACAGCCAUCGUUUACUAGAAAAUCGUUGUCCUACUUGGAUAACUGUGGCAAUUCUAGAGCUAAUACAUGCGAUAAAGCUCAUUUCGCAAGGAUUGAGCGCAUUUAUUAGAAUAAAAACCAAUCGGGUCUAAACAACCCGUAAUUUGGUGAAUCUGAAUAACUUUGCCGAUCGCACGGUCCUAGUACCGGCGACGUAUCUUUCAAGUGUCUGCCUUAUCAACUUUCGAUGGUAGGUUAUACGCCUACCAUGGUAGUAACGGGUAACGGAGAAUAAGGGUUCGACUCCGGAGAGGGAGCCUGAGAAACGGCUACCACAUCCAAGGAAGGCAGCAGGCGCGCAAAUUACCCACUUCCAGAACGGAGAGGUAGUGACGAAAAAUAACGAGACAGUCCUCUUCGAGGUCUGUCAUCGGAAUGGGUACAAUUUAAAUCCUUUAACGAGGAUCUAUUGGAGGGCAAGUCUGGUGCCAGCAGCCGCGGUAAUUCCAGCUCCAAUAGCGUAUAUUAAAGUUGUUGCGGUUAAAACGCUCGUAGUUGGAUCUGCGGCCUCGGAGAACGGUCCCCCGAAAGGGUGGUCACUGUUACUCCAAGCCUAAAUAUCUAGUCCAUUCUAUGGUGCUCUUAACCGAGUGCCUAGAGUGACUGGAACGUUUACUUUGAAAAAAUUAGAGUGCUUAAAGCAGGCGGAAUAGCCUGAAUAAGGUGCAUGGAAUAAUGGAAUAGGACCUCGGUUCUAUUUUGUUGGUUUUCGGAGCCUGAGGUAAUGAUUAAGAGGAACAGACGGGGGCAUUCGUAUUCCGGCGCUAGAGGUGAAAUUCUUGGACCGCCGGAAGACGGACGACUGCGAAAGCAUUUGCCAAGAAUGUUUUCAUUAAUCAAGAACGAAAGUUAGAGGUUCGAAGGCGAUCAGA
This 945-nucleotide ribosomal RNA is filed under the name Xiphinema browni. Its description in RNAcentral is "SSU rRNA". It matches the Rfam family "Eukaryotic small subunit ribosomal RNA", at positions 72 to 1012 of the family's 1831-position model. The record is from RNAcentral. Lineage: Eukaryota; Metazoa; Nematoda; Enoplea; Dorylaimida; Longidoridae.